UACAGAGGUCUCAAGCGUUGUUCGGAUUCAUUGGGCGUAAAGGGUGCGUAGGUGGCGAGGCAAGUCGGAUGUGAAAUCCCGGGGCUCAACCCCGGAACUGCAUUCGAUACUGCUUUGCUAGAGUACUGGAGAGGAGAUUGGAAUUUACGGUGUAGCAGUGAAAUGCGUAGAUAUCGUAAGGAAGACCAGUGGCGAAGGCGGAUCUCUGGACAGUUACUGACACUGAGGCACGAAGGCCAGGGGAGCAAACGGG
This 253-nucleotide ribosomal RNA is filed under the name uncultured bacterium. RNAcentral's name for it is "partial 16S ribosomal RNA". It matches the Rfam family "Bacterial small subunit ribosomal RNA", at positions 524 to 776 of the family's 1533-position model. The record is from RNAcentral.